Molecule: small RNA, 29 nt
Filed under: Bombyx mori (domestic silkworm)
Lineage: Eukaryota; Metazoa; Arthropoda; Insecta; Lepidoptera; Bombycidae
Description: ovarian small RNA-19251
Source: RNAcentral
UAAGCAUUAUGGUAACUUGCAACCGACCC